This 710-nucleotide ribosomal RNA is filed under the name Enterobacter hormaechei. RNAcentral's name for it is "partial 23S ribosomal RNA". It matches the Rfam family "Bacterial large subunit ribosomal RNA", at positions 2211 to 2915 of the family's 2925-position model. The record is from RNAcentral. RNAcentral also lists the same sequence under 1 other name. Lineage: Bacteria; Pseudomonadati; Pseudomonadota; Gammaproteobacteria; Enterobacterales; Enterobacteriaceae.
UGGCUGGUGUUCUAACGUAGACCCGUGAUCCGGGUUGCGGACAGUGUCUGGUGGGUAGUUUGACUGGGGCGGUCUCCUCCCAAAGAGUAACGGAGGAGCACGAAGGUUGGCUAAUCCUGGUCGGACAUCAGGAGGUUAGUGCAAUGGCAUAAGCCAGCUUGACUGCGAGCGUGACGGCGCGAGCAGGUGCGAAAGCAGGUCAUAGUGAUCCGGUGGUUCUGAAUGGAAGGGCCAUCGCUCAACGGAUAAAAGGUACUCCGGGGAUAACAGGCUGAUACCGCCCAAGAGUUCAUAUCGACGGCGGUGUUUGGCACCUCGAUGUCGGCUCAUCACAUCCUGGGGCUGAAGUAGGUCCCAAGGGUAUGGCUGUUCGCCAUUUAAAGUGGUACGCGAGCUGGGUUUAGAACGUCGUGAGACAGUUCGGUCCCUAUCUGCCGUGGGCGCUGGAGAAUUGAGGGGGGCUGCUCCUAGUACGAGAGGACCGGAGUGGACGCAUCACUGGUGUUCGGGUUGUCAUGCCAAUGGCACUGCCCGGUAGCUAAAUGCGGAAGAGAUAAGUGCUGAAAGCAUCUAAGCACGAAACUUGCCCCGAGAUGAGUUCUCCCUGAGACCUUGAGUCUCCUGAAGGAACGUUGAAGACGACGACGUUGAUAGGUCGGGUGUGUAAGCGCAGCGAUGCGUUGAGCUAACCGAUACUAAUGAACCGUGAG